RNAcentral lists this ribosomal RNA (506 nucleotides) under uncultured Thauera sp. RNAcentral describes it as "bacterial SSU rRNA". It matches the Rfam family "Bacterial small subunit ribosomal RNA", at positions 97 to 599 of the family's 1533-position model. The record is from RNAcentral. Lineage: Bacteria; Pseudomonadati; Pseudomonadota; Betaproteobacteria; Rhodocyclales; Zoogloeaceae.
GGCGAACGGGUGAGUAAUGCAUCGGAACGCGUCCUGUAAUGGGGGAUAACCUAGCGAAAGUUAGGCUAAUACCGCAUACGUCCUGAGGGAGAAAGCGGGGGAUCGUAAGACCUCGUGUUAUAGGAGCGGCCGAUGUCGGAUUAGCUAGUUGGUGGGGUAAAGGCCUACCAAGGCGACGAUCCGUAGCGGGUCUGAGAGGACGGCCCGCCACACUGGGACUGAGACACGGCCCAGACUCCUACGGGAGGCAGCAGUGGGGAAUUUUGGACAAUGGGGGCAACCCUGAUCCAGCCAUGCCGCGUGAGUGAAGAAGGCCUUCGGGUUGUAAAGCUCUUUCGGCCGGGAAGAAAUCGUGCGGGCUAAUACCCUGUAUGGAUGACGGUACCGGAAGAAGAAGCACCGGCUAACUACGUGCCAGCAGCCGCGGUAAUACGUAGGGUGCGAGCGUUAAUCGGAAUUACUGGGCGUAAAGCGUGCGCAGGCGGUUUUGUAAGACAGAUGUGAAA